GACGCGAUCCGGGAGGCGUUGGCGAAGAUGGGCCAGCCGGACCUGCCCUUUACUGUCGCCGGUGAUCGCCUUGCCUCCGAUCCGCCGCCGGGCAUGGUCGCCCUCUACACGCCCUUUGCCGAUGCCGGUCUCGUUCUCCCGAUUCAAUCUUUGGUGGCCGAGGCGAUGUACCACUGCGGCGUUGCCAUCUCUCAGUUUCCUCCGGCCGCCAUCGACCGCCUGGUGAUCUUCGACCUUCUCUUGCGUCGCGCCGGCUGCCAGGUCUCUCUGCCGGUCUUCCUGACGUGGUUCACGAUGACCGCCAUGACCACUGACCCCCGCCGUGUGU
This 328-nucleotide long non-coding RNA is filed under the name Zostera marina. RNAcentral's name for it is "long non-coding RNA (ZMAR_LNC002793)". The record is from RNAcentral. Lineage: Eukaryota; Viridiplantae; Streptophyta; Magnoliopsida; Alismatales; Zosteraceae.